Molecule: ribosomal RNA, 428 nt
Filed under: uncultured bacterium
Lineage: Bacteria
Description: bacterial SSU rRNA
Rfam family: Bacterial small subunit ribosomal RNA
Source: RNAcentral
GGGCCCGCACAAGCGGAGGAGCAUGUGGUUUAAUUCGAUGAUACGCGAGGAACCUUACCUGGGCUUAAAUGUUAGAUGCCAUUCUGCGAAAGCGGAAGUUUCUUCGGAACAUCUAGCAAGGUGCUGCAUGGCUGUCGUCAGCUCGUGCCGUGAGGUGUUGGGUUAAGUCCCGCAACGAGCGCAACCUCUAUCAUUAGUUGCCAUCAGGUUAAGCUGGGGACUCUAAUGAAACUGCCUACGCAAGUAGAGAGGAAGGCGGGGACGACGUCAAGUCAUCAUGGCCCUUACGCCCAGGGCUACACACGUGCUACAAUGGUAGGUACAAUGAGAAGCUACUUGGUAACAAGACGCAAACCUCAAAAAGCCUAUCUCAGUUCGGAUUGAGGUCUGCAACUCGACCUCAUGAAGUUGGAUUCGCUAGUAAUCGU